This 507-nucleotide ribosomal RNA is filed under the name Cladosporium cladosporioides. RNAcentral's name for it is "eukaryotic LSU rRNA". The stretch from base 139 to 292 matches the Rfam family "5.8S ribosomal RNA". Lineage: Eukaryota; Fungi; Ascomycota; Dothideomycetes; Cladosporiales; Cladosporiaceae. The record is from RNAcentral.
CCACCGGGAUGUUCAUAACCCUUUGUUGUCCGACUCUGUUGCCUCCGGGGCGACCCUGCCUUCGGGCGGGGGCUCCGGGUGGACACUUCAAACUCUUGCGUAACUUUGCAGUCUGAGUAAACUUAAUUAAUAAAUUAAAACUUUUAACAACGGAUCUCUUGGUUCUGGCAUCGAUGAAGAACGCAGCGAAAUGCGAUAAGUAAUGUGAAUUGCAGAAUUCAGUGAAUCAUCGAAUCUUUGAACGCACAUUGCGCCCCCUGGUAUUCCGGGGGGCAUGCCUGUUCGAGCGUCAUUUCACCACUCAAGCCUCGCUUGGUAUUGGGCAUCGCGGUCCGCCGCGUGCCUCAAAUCGACCGGCUGGGUCUUCUGUCCCCUAAGCGUUGUGGAAACUAUUCGCUAAAGGGUGUUCGGGAGGCUACGCCGUAAAACAACCCCAUUUCUAAGGUUGACCUCGGAUCAGGUAGGGAUACCCGCUGAACUUAAGCAUAUCAAUAAGCCGGGAGGAAA